Molecule: ribosomal RNA, 468 nt
Filed under: uncultured bacterium
Lineage: Bacteria
Description: partial 16S ribosomal RNA
Rfam family: Bacterial small subunit ribosomal RNA
Source: RNAcentral
GACGAACGCUGGCGGCGUGCUUAACACAUGCAAGUCGAACGGAAAGGCCCUGCUUUUGUGGGGUGCUCGAGUGGCGAACGGGUGAGUAACACGUGAGUAACCUGCCCUUGACUUUGGGAUAACUUCAGGAAACUGGGGCUGAUACCGGAUAGGAGCUCCUGCUGCAUGGGGGGGGUUGGAAAGUUUCGGCGGUUGGGGAUGGACUCGCGGCUUAUCAGCUUGUUGGUGGGGUAGUGGCUUACCAAGGCUUUGACGGGUAGCCGGCCUGAGAGGGUGACCGGCCACAUUGGGACUGAGAUACGGCCCAGACUCCUACGGGAGGCAGCAGUGGGGAAUAUUGCACAAUGGGCGGAAGCCUGAUGCAGCAACGCCGCGUGCGGGAUGACGGCCUUCGGGUUGUAAACCGCUUUCGCCUGUGACGAAGCGUGAGUGACGGUAAUGGGUAAAGAAGCACCGGCUAACUACGUG